UCCCACAAUGAAGGCGUUUCAUAUGCGUCGGUUCCGUUUCUCCUUUCUCCUUCAAUCCUUACAGUAUGCAUGGUACCAUGCAUACUGUUCCAGUGUUUCACAGAAAUAUGCGAAAAUCGAGAAAAAAAACACCUCGAUGCAUUGCCGGAGCAAGAGAGUGGAGCGAUUGUAAGGAGAAACGGAGCCGACGCAUAUGAAACGCCUUCAUUGUGGGAAAAUACUUCCUAGCGUUGCUUCAGAGGCCGAAUAGUUGCAUCAUUUCAAAACCCAACCAGCGGCGUAGCGGCGGAGAUGAGCGAGCAAUGCGGUUGGUUGAUACAGCCGCUAACUUACAAUUUGCGAUAAAGCCACUGAUUUUAACAACGUCUUACCUGAAGUGCAUUUUCAAUGACAGCCUCUUUUUGGCGAUUUUGUGAUCACUUUUAUAAUAGGCGAAUGCUAAGACUGAUCUAAAAUCGUCCCUAGCCUUUAAGAAAAUUCACAUUUGUAGCUAAAGAAUAUCUAAUUAUUGAUGGGACAAGAAUGUUCUGUAGUCAAAGCUAGCCCACGUGAGUAUCUCGAGUGCUAAUUUUUUUUCUUUCUUUUUCUUUAUUCUUUCUUUGCAGAUUGAACUUGUUUGGUUCAUUUUCAUUUUAACACUCAACAGAUUUUCACCUGAUACCCAAAUUUUUACUGACACCUGAAUCACCAUAAAAAUAACAUUAUAUUCCGUCACUUUUGUUGGUUGCCUGACAUACUGACGUAGACAACAUAAAAAUGAAUAUACUUCAGGGUUGAAACUGCUGUAUUUUUUGCUUUUAAUCUCGCAUCAAACGCGGCGCGGGUCUGAGGUAAAAAUAUGAAAUGCGUAAAUAAGUAACAUCAUGAAUUUAAUUUGCAGGUUUUUGAGGAAGGGCUUUCAGUCUCAUGACUUGGCGAACUUGGUUGUGCCCGGAGUUAUUUUGGUGCUUCUUCCUGGGAUAUUAUGUUCACCUUGAAACUCUGGGUCGGAGUUAUUUGGGUAGCAAGCAGUAUAUGUUCAUUCAUAGGAACAACUGCAGCCCCACCAUGCUCCUGAUAUAUUCCACGAAGGUGACGUACCACGAGAGGACAGAGACUGGGGCCUACACAGCUAGACGCGGUGUCGAGACCGGAAGGAAAUCAGCGGAAGUCUCCUGCUGACCCUUUUCACUUCGGAGACACACUUUGCACCACCUCUUCCCGGCGCUGGACCACGCGGUCCUCGAGCACUUGCACCCGACGUUCGAAAAAGUCUGCGCUCAGUUCAACGUCCACCCACGAAGCCACGCCUUACUGGGACCCUCAUCAAGGCCAGUUCCAGCAGCUGGCCAGAACCACGCCGAGGGUCUUCCCGCUCAAAGCCGCCGAGAAACAGAGAUGAGGACCCGCUAAUUUUCUGAGGAGAUUUUUCGGGAGAGCAGGGCGUCAUUGCAGCCAAACUGAGAAGGACGAAAUUUUUUCGGAGGAGAUAAAAUUGCUAGGAGGCCAUUCAAGUACCACGUGAGGCAGUUUGGCGGACUUUUGAUUCCUUCCGCACUUGUAGGGCACCCCGCAAGUAAACCUCCCCCUCUUAUUUAAAAAAAUAAAACAUAAAAAUGCCCUGACCUUGUCUUAUUCAUCCAAAAAUGACUAUGAAAACUUCAAGAAAUUAUUUUAAUGGAAAAAGGUUAUUAUUUUAAAGCGGAGACUUACGUAGACAGGGCUUCCUUCAUCUCUGCUUACGUCAUGCCCAACGGUCCCCAGGAGGGGAAACUAAAAAUAUCACCAAUAGAAACCCUAGAAUCAUCAAAUUUUAUGAAAGUUGUACAAGAAAGUCAAUUUCACAGCGGAGGGUCAAGGUUACGGCUCUCCCUGUCUUCUCGAAAUGGCGCACUUUCUAAAAGGAACUAAUUCAUCCGGAGAGCAAAGGGUUGUUUUUUGAGUAAGAUUGACAGAGUUCCAUAUUUAUCCCCACUAAGAACUUUUUUAGUAUUGACAUUUCUAGUUGAGUGAUUUAUAGAAUAGGUAAUUGUCCUAGCUCUUAGUUCACGGAAGCAAAUUUUCAGUUGAUCUAUUUUUUGUCGAAAGGAGCAAAAAAGCAUUUUAUGAGAAAACGUGUAUAUUGGGGUGUGCUUUUAUCUACAACUUCUAAUCACAGGGAAGAAAAUGAAUUUAAAAAUAGAUGCCAUAAAUUGUUAGUUCUGUAAGUGACGGGGUUACAAACAUGUUUUAAAAAUGUAAUUUAAUGAUUCUUGAAUUGAGGGUGAUUCGCACAGAGAGUCGAUAUUUCCUAAGCUUUGUUUUUAGUGAGAAAGGAAAUCAAGAGAAUUAAUCAGUGACAUCGAUGAAGGCAUGAUGAUAAAACCCAGAUCAUAAAUACACAAUCAAACGAAAGACUCGAUGUAUGUACUAACCGUGGCACGAGUAUAGUGCUUUAAUGGUGCGCAUCCUUUUGUGAUAAUUUGUAUGAGUGACCGUGACCCAUCUAUUGAUUUUGUUCUUUUUUUAUUAUUUUGGCGGUUAUCUCUAAGUAGGCUGUGAUAUUGUUGGAUUUGUUGUUAUUUAUGAAGUAAAAAAAAUAUAUAUUUUUCGAAUAUAAUACAAAAUCUUUCACGGUUCGAAACGUCCUGCCUUUUUUAUGUAUACCUUGCUAACCCAUAUUAUGGUUUUUAUUCUAUCCUGUUCCCGUAUACGGUCAAUGUGAUUGCUGCAAUUUUCUCAUGGGACACCCAUCUCGCAGAAAGUCCAUUCUGACAAAAAUCUUACAAAAAAAAUCCUUAUGCAUAGCUGUAGGAAAUUUUGUUUAAAGACAUAUCAUAAUUUAUUUGUGCACUAAUCACUGAGGACAGUUGUGGAUUGUCGUUAUAAAGUAGAAAAUGGCAGUCAGACCUUAUCGCUGAAAGCGUUUUACACAUAACUUAAAAAGAUUAUCCAGCAGGUCGUAUCAAAUGAGUUAAAAAGUGAUAAGACAUUUUCAAACAUCACCCUUACAAAAACAGAAUCGCAUUGCGCGUUUGAGGUUGUUUUAUAGUGUCUCAAAGGAAUUGGUGAAUUUUUGUCAGAAUUUUGCGAUCAUCGGGGCGAAACUGUUCUGUUUGAGGCCGGACAUAGUUUCUUUUCUCACGGGAGGUAAGUUCUCUCUUCAUAACUGAUUAGAUAGAGCAGCUUUCAUACUUCGACGCACUCUCGCUUAUCAGCCACGAGGUUUGGAUGUUUUUUUAAUCUUAUGCUAGUACCCGACUACUUUAAUGUUAUUGACAGGUCUAAAAUUUGUAACUGGUCGAAUUUAUUUUUAUUUUAUUUUAAAAAAAAUUCGUACAAGAGAGUCUCAUAAUUAUUGAGACUAUGGCACAUAUCAAGAGGCACCCCCCCCCCCCCGCUACCCCCGUACAAUUAGUUAUAAUAAGACGACAAUGAAACAUAAAAUUUUGCAAUUUAAAAAUUGUAAGUAUGUUUAUUAAACCAAAUACUAAAAAUUAGUAGGUACCUACCUAGAUAUUUUCACUUAAUACCGUUUUUCGGUGUACUUAAUGAUUUGAUUUUCCACCAUAAGGCACUCUUUUGCUUGACUGCAUCAUAUUUUUUCGGGGGAAAAUCCAUAAACUCUGGAGUGGUCAAAUUUCUGAUCGUGUUUCCUGAUAUACGUCGAUCAUAAGCAUUUCAAAUAAAGAUGGUUUAAUACUACGGACAUAGCGAUGCAUUGUUUAUUGACAGAAAUCGUUUUAUCAAUUUGAUAGCUUUUUAUCAUUGGAUGUUGUGAGUCAUAAAUUCUCGUUAAUUUGCCGAUUGAAUUAUUAAGGUCAUUUUGCAGACUCGAUCACAUAUAUCCAUUUAAUCUUGGUCCAUGCAUCAUUAUUUUGCAUGUUUUUCUUUUAGAAAAUUACGAUAGAUAUGAUGUAAUCUUUGCACCUAAAAUCGUUAUGUUGUGAAUUCACUCGGCUGUCGGUCAGGCUCAAGCCCCCUCCCGAAAGCAAAAAAGGGUCUUAUUUUUCACAAAAAAAAAAUUGAAGAAGGACCCCGAACCGCUUUAUUUGGAGGGGAGCAGAAUCCCCUCAACCUCCCCCCCCCCGAACAAAAUCCUGGCUACGUGCCUGCUGCAGUCUUAAGAAUUGCACCUUUAACUUCGAGGAAGGUUGUUGCACUCCGGCGUCUCAAAAUUGCUCAGAUUCCUCUUCGAAAGAAUUUUUUCUCAGGCUUACCUGUGUUUUUUUACUUUAAUUUAGACUCCGUUAAUGGUAGGGAUUUUGAUCCAGAAAGUCUCCAGAAUAGCCUCCUUUCGAGAGAAGCUGGCCAGAACUGAAACACCCCGUCUUACAGGAAGAGGAAUUUAAUUUCGACAGAAAAUUGGCUCCAUGACAAACAGACUGACGAUGGGGCAGAGGGGCUUUGGCGCAUCCACGAUAAAUUAUACGAUCUUCAUGGGUUCAUGGAGAAACAUCCAGGUGGAGCUCAGUGGCUGGAGAUAACCAAGUGAACCAUAAAGUCAUUUAAUACGUUACCCUCUAACCAAAGUAUCUGAAGCACCAUGCGACAAAUAUUUCCGCCGCCAUUCUAUUUUUUUACAGAAAAUUGUCGGUUGAAUCUGUUUGAAAUUUCACUGAAUUUUAUUGGCAGCACAAAGGAAUCUCAGGGAAAUUUUUCGGACAGCUUCGUUGACCUGGAAUUCUGAAACAUGGCCGAAGUUGUUUUUUAAUUAAAUGGAAUUUUUUUUGUCCAGAAAACGCAACUUUUUGAGGGUCGAAUUUUUUUUUUUUUUUUUUUGGGGGGGGGGGCACCCUAAAGUGUACCUCAAAUUUUUAAUUUGAAAAAUUACGCUCUUCCCCAUAUGCAGACAAAGAAGACAUCGGGAGUAUGGAGCGUCCUAUUGGUUUAAACGGUGGUUCCCGUAGACUAAGGGAGAAAAUGAUGGACAAACUACCAGGUCUCCCGUGGGUCGUCGUUGGUUAGGUUGGUUAGGUCCUGUGAAGAUUUUUGAGAAAAAAUUAAGAAGUUGCGUGAUCUUAGCAGAGAUUAUUCAUCAUAAAUU
Molecule: long non-coding RNA, 5005 nt
Filed under: Bemisia tabaci
Lineage: Eukaryota; Metazoa; Arthropoda; Insecta; Hemiptera; Aleyrodidae
Description: lncRNA ENSSWEETPG006818
Source: RNAcentral